UUUGAUCAUGGCUCAGGACGAACGCUGGCGGCGUGCCUAACACAUGCAAGUCGAACGGAACUUUUUUAAAAGAUUUCUUCGGAAUGAAUUUGAUUAAGUUUAGUGGCGGACGGGUGAGUAACGCGUGAGUAACCUGCCUCUAAGAGGGGAAUAACAUUCUGAAAAGAAUGCUAAUACCGCAUAAUAUAUAUUUAUCGCGUGGUAGAUAUAUCAAAGAUUUAUCGCUUAGAGAUGGACUCGCGUCCGAUUAGUUAGUUGGUGAGGUAACGGCUCACCAAGACUGCGAUCGGUAGCCGGACUGAGAGGUUGAACGGCCACAUUGGGACUGAGACACGGCCCAGACUCCUACGGGAGGCAGCAGUGGGGGAUAUUGCGCAAUGGGGGAAACCCUGACGCAGCAACGCCGCGUGAAGGAUGAAGGUCUUCGGAUUGUAAACUUCUUUUAUUAAGGACGAAGAAAGUGACGGUACUUAAUGAAUAAGCUCCGGCUAACUACGUGCCAGCAGCCGCGGUAAUACGUAGGGAGCAAGCGUUGUCCGGAUUUACUGGGUGUAAAGGGUGCGCAGGCGGCUUUGCAAGUCAGAUGUGAAAUCUAUGGGCUCAACCCAUAGCCUGCAUUUGAAACUGCAGAGCUUGAGUGAAGUAGAGGCAGGCGGAAUUCCCCGUGUAGCGGUGAAAUGCGUAGAGAUGGGGAGGAACACCAGUGGCGAAGGCGGCCUGCUGGGCUUUAACUGACGCUGAGGCACGAAAGCGUGGGUAGCAAACAGGAUUAGAUACCCUGGUAGUCCACGCUGUAAACGAUGAUUACUAGGUGUGGGGGGUCUGACCCCUUCCGUGCCGGAGUUAACACAAUAAGUAAUCCACCUGGGGAGUACGGCCGCAAGGUUGCAACUCAAAUGAAUUGACGG
Molecule: ribosomal RNA, 908 nt
Filed under: uncultured Bacillota bacterium
Lineage: Bacteria; Bacillati; Bacillota
Description: bacterial SSU rRNA
Rfam family: Bacterial small subunit ribosomal RNA
Source: RNAcentral